RNAcentral lists this ribosomal RNA (139 nucleotides) under Poecilia latipunctata (broadspotted molly). Its description in RNAcentral is "partial 16S ribosomal RNA". The record is from RNAcentral. Lineage: Eukaryota; Metazoa; Chordata; Actinopteri; Cyprinodontiformes; Poeciliidae.
GUUUCUAUCUAUGAAGUGUUUCCUUCCAGUACGAAAGGAUCGAAGGGAAAAAGGUCCAUGCUUAAAGUAAACCUUACCCCAACCUAAUAAAAACAACUCAAUUAGGUAAAAAGCACACCACCCGCUCAAAGAUAACGAU